AAACACCGUACCUCAGGACAGAUGAUGAAACUGUUACUGCAACACAAUAAUAAUAUUAAACAUGGAAGGAAAUAGCUGACUAAAUCUGUGGAAGGACUUGACCAUAGUAUUUAGUUACAUGGGAUACUCCUCUCUGAAGUAAAGUCUUUCUUUGUGAAAUUUCCACGACAAUCAUUGUGGUGGAGUUUCGGUGGAGGCACCAAACUCAUCAUGACUUGGGUGUGGUACGUCCCUCCCUGACCGUCCUACUUCCCUCCAGUGAGGAGCAGGACCAGGGGAAUGUGGCCCUAGUGUGCCUGGCCAAGGGUUUUUGCUGUAUAGAUCAGGAGUUUAGGAGCCUGUCCAGGUUUCUGCAGAUCUUGUCUGAAGCAACAGCUCAGAGAGAAGACUUUCCCAUUCAAACCUAUUAGAAUCAGUAGAGAGAGAUGCUGAGACUUUCUCACCCUGAGUCAGGAACCCCAGAGGGGUUCAGAUUUGAUAGACACACUCUCUCCCAGGCAAACAGACUUUGAUUAAUCAGCUUGAUUCAGGACACGUGCAGAUGACUCUGAACUGGAAACAGUGAAUAAUUUGCUUUGAGUCAUCACAAUAAUUCAAAUACAGGCAUUGGAAUCGUGUUCCAUGUGAAAACAUAUAGAAGCCCAUUAAAACCUGUUAAAACCAGUAGACCACAAUGAGAUGCUGAGAGUUCCUCACCCUGAGUCAGGAGGAACGCCAGCAUGAUCAGCAUCUUCCUCAUCUGUGGCUCUAAGAAGACUGACUGGACACAACGAGGAUAACACUGCAGUCUUAGUGUCAGGAGCAGUGAGGCUCAACAGCUAUGCAAAACACCACUCUAUGGGCAAACACACCUGCUGGGUGUGAAAGAGAGAGAGGAGACAGAUAGAUUGAGAGGUGACAGAGAGAGAACUUGUAUAUCUGUUAUUUUGCUGUUAGCUGUGAGUCAUUCUAUUCUAGGGGUCAACUAUAGGAGGAUUACUAAAUCAUGUAUUAAAGGGUAGGUUCACCACCAAAUAAAAAAAAUUGUCAGACAUAUUACAUCCAAAGUGUUGUGUCAAGCUGAGCCCAAAUUGUAUUUCAUUUUAGGAUGAACAUCCCGCUGGUAUACCAUUCCUCAAAUGUUAAUAGCCAGGAUCCAACAGACUGCACAAAUGAGUCGGCCUACAGGUGAUGCCUAGCCUAACAGGAGCCUUACUAACUACUGUACAGUGAUGACCAUUUACAUUGACCCCCCCCCCCUUUUGUACACUGCUGUUACUUGCUGUUUAUUAUCUAUGCAUAGUCACUUCACCCCCCACCUACAUGUACAAAUGACCUCAACUACCCUGUACCCCCCUACACUGACUCUGUACCGGUGCCCUCUAUAUAUCACCUCAUUAUUGAUAUUCUUAUUGUGUUACUUUUAAAUUUUAGUCUACUUGGUAAAUAUUUUCUUAACUUUUAUUGAACUGCACUGUUAAGAGCUUGUAAGUAAGCAUUUCACGGUAAAGUCUUCACAUGUUGUAGUUGGCGCACGUGACAAAUAAAGUUAGAUUUUUUAAAAUUCUCAUAUUUGCAGGUUGA
Long non-coding RNA from Oncorhynchus gorbuscha (pink salmon), 1563 nucleotides. RefSeq lists it as uncharacterized. The transcript is spliced from 5 exons. NCBI's taxonomy places the organism in Eukaryota, Metazoa, Chordata, Actinopteri, Salmoniformes, Salmonidae. The record is from RefSeq and is a predicted model, not a curated record.